Xenopus laevis (African clawed frog) is the source of this 1414-nucleotide long non-coding RNA. RefSeq lists it as uncharacterized. NCBI's taxonomy places the organism in Eukaryota, Metazoa, Chordata, Amphibia, Anura, Pipidae. The record is from RefSeq and is a predicted model, not a curated record. The transcript is spliced from 2 exons.
CUCCGCGUCUAGAACCUGGAUUGGCAGUCUUCAAACGUGUGUCCUUUUUCUUUUAGAUAAAGAAUACACUUGCUUAGUUAUAAAACAGAUGGAAAAGAACAAUUCAACAUUUACUGCAUUUACUGUAAUCAACAACUCACUCCAGCAUUCAAUCCAUGGAGCUCAGUAUGAAGUCCCUUUGUUUUAAUAUAAAGGUUGCACAUUUCAUCCUAAAUGUGUGCAUUUCUGUAAUCAAUUGUUUGUAAAUACCUUGGGUAUUGUGUAUUAAAUGUACAGAGGGAGAUUUCUGUUACAGCUUUUAUUUGUAUGUGUUUUCCAGUAAAAUUAAUGAUUGAUUUAUCACUAUUCCCAGUCCCAGUUUUUUACAGCUAAUUUAUAAAACGAAAUAGAGGAAAAAAAAAAUGAAAAGCAUAAAAUGGCAUGAAAGUCAGUCAAUGUAAUCUAUCUAUCUAUCUAUCUAUCUAUCUAUCUAUCUAUCUAUUAUCUAUCUAUCUAUCUAUCUAUCUAUCUAUCUAUCUAUCUAUCUAUCUAUCUAUCAUCUAUCUAUCUAUCUAUCUAUCUAUCAUCUAUCUAUCUAUCUAUCUAUCUAUCUAUCAUCUGUCAUCUAUAAACGGAAAUGGUCCUUUUUCCUCCUACUAACACCAGUAACAUUCCGGUAUCCAUCAUAGCUAACUAUUUCACUAUCACCCCCUCUCCCCAGGCCCGGUGCCUUGGGGUUAUCCUAGAUUCUGCUCUGUCAUUCACUCCUCAUAUCCAGUCACUUAUUAAAUCAUGUCACUUCCACCUAAGGAACAUAUCCAAAAUACGAUCACCCAAGAUGCUGCCAAAUUUCUUAUUCACUCUCUCAUCAUAUCACGUCUAGACUACUAUAACUCUCUUUUAAUUGGCCUUCCCAGAGACUGCGACCCAGAGGCUUAUAUACCUCAGCAACCACUCCUCCUCUGCCAUGCCAUUCUGCCAAUCCCUGCACUGGCUUCUACUACUCGCAUUCAAGACUUUUGCAAAACUGCACCCCUCCUCUGGAAUUCUCUCCCAUGGUCUUUCUGACUUUUCUUCAGGAGAAUAUGUUUACACUAUAUCUAUACUAUAACUAUAGUGAAAGCAUACUUAUAACAUUAAUUGUGGAUAGCUGGCUGUAUAGUUUAUUGAGCCACCUCCAAACCUAAAUCAAAUAAUGAUACUUUAGUAGCUGCAACAAUUUUGUUACUUUUAUACGAAUGGGAAAAUUUGCUACAUGAUUAAUAUUAAGAUAACAAAGUUACAUUGUAUUUUGUUUUUAUCCUGUUUUUAUCUGGAUGGUUUGUAAUAAGUGUUGAUAGUAGGAUCUGAUUGUUGUGAAGUGAUACAUAUUAUAUGUUAGCUCUCUUUGAGAAAGGCCCGCUAGUGUGAUAAUAAAUGAAUUUUUUUAAAAAUA